CUAUCUGCUAGAAUCUGCAAUAUGUAUCGGAGGGCAUAUGUUAAUACAUAUGCUGGAAAAGAUGUCAGAUGACAUCGGAAUGGGUUAUUAGGCCAGAUAAGAUCAAUUUCUUAUCUGGCCUUUAUUUUUU
RNAcentral lists this non-coding RNA (130 nucleotides) under unclassified sequences. The record is from RNAcentral.